AACGAACGCUGGCGGCAUGCCUAACACAUGCAAGUCGAACGAGACCUUCGGGUCUAGUGGCGCACGGGUGCGUAACGCGUGGGAACCUGCCCUUAGGUUCGGAAUAACUCUCCGAAAGGGGUGCUAAUACCGGAUAAUGUCUUCGGACCAAAGAUUUAUCGCCUUUGGAUGGGCCCGCGUUGGAUUAGCUGGUUGGUAGGGUAAAAGCCUACCAAGGCGACGAUCCAUAGCUGGUCUGAGAGGAUGAUCAGCCACACUGGGACUGAGACACGGCCCAGACUCCUACGGGAGGCAGCAGUGGGGAAUAUUGGACAAUGGGCGGAAGCCUGAUCCAGCAAUGCCGCGUGAGUGAUGAAGGCCUUAGGGUUGUAAAGCUCUUUUACCCGGGAUGAUAAUGACAGUACCGGGAGAAUAAGCUCCGGCUAACUCCGUG
RNAcentral lists this ribosomal RNA (433 nucleotides) under uncultured bacterium. RNAcentral's name for it is "partial 16S ribosomal RNA". It matches the Rfam family "Bacterial small subunit ribosomal RNA", at positions 29 to 507 of the family's 1533-position model. The record is from RNAcentral.